Molecule: long non-coding RNA, 1019 nt
Organism: Cyprinus carpio (common carp)
Lineage: Eukaryota; Metazoa; Chordata; Actinopteri; Cypriniformes; Cyprinidae
Source: Ensembl
UGUUGUGUUCAUUUCUGAUUCAACUGAAUGUUUAAUUUUGCUGAAGGUUUUAUAUAAAUGAGCCCUUUUUGUUUGGGUAGACCAUUUCAGAAAAUUUAAUGAAUGCUUUGAGGGUCUCAGCCACAAUGACUUAUGCAAUGAGCAGCUACGAUGGAUGACGGAAAUGGAAUCUGUUUAGCCUGCACUUCUCCAGCCACUCGUCUAACUUUAACUAUUAUUCAAGGUGCAAUUUGAGACCAGAAAAAAACGGCAAUGAAAACAGCUAUUGAAGAUUGAAAGGAUGUUAUCCUGUUCCAUUCAAAGAUCCAGUUCAAUGCAGCCCAUUGAGACACAAAAUACUUUUCUUAUUUCAUAUUUCCUGUGUGGAUCUAGAGGUCAUGUUGGUAGAUUCAGGCAUUUUUAAAUAAGGAUAAAUACAACAUUAACAGCAAAGAGGGAUAAAUAUAUCAGAUAAACAGUAUCUGAAGAACUCAGGCAAAACAUAAUACAAAAGAAGAGUUAUAUUUGUUAAGAGAAGAGAUCCUGGUACAAAUCAAUUCUUGCUAAUUGAUCCCUAGUAAUCCUAGAUCAUUUUAAGUAAAUUCUAGGAUGUAGUGUUAAAAAGGUGAAUGAAAGGAUGUAGCCUGGGUGCGUCUCAUUUUUUAUAAUAAAUUAUUGAAUUUUUUGUGUAUACACAACUGCAGUAUAGUAUAAUUUUGAUAAUAUUUAAAUAUAGCCAACAACUUCUGCUGUACACUGUGUAGAUGCAUGAACCAUGAAGUGGUCCUGUCAUUGAUGCAGUUCAGGGUGUUUGUCACCAGAGGCCACUGUUUCACUGCUUUGGCAGGAGUGGGUAAUGUGCCAGCUGUGCCACUGCGGUGGCUACACAUUUGCUAGUGGAAGCUGGACAAGGUGUGACCAUAUUGAAAGGUAUGUUUUAGACAAUAGGCAGAACUGAGGUCUCUAUUCUGUACAAACCUGCAGUUUUUGAACCACAGGGAACUUAAAUGUUAAGAGAUACAAAUAUGCCCCAAUAGCUU